This is a long non-coding RNA of Falco peregrinus (peregrine falcon), 293 nucleotides long. RefSeq lists it as uncharacterized. The record is from RefSeq and is a predicted model, not a curated record. Lineage: Eukaryota; Metazoa; Chordata; Aves; Falconiformes; Falconidae. The transcript has 2 exons.
AGGACCUGAGCAAACGCCUUUGUGGCCUCUGCGGUGACUACGACAGGGACGCAGCCAACGACCUCCGAGGACCCGACGGGAAGUUGCUGAGGGACGUGGUGGCAGUGGCCAAGGCUUGGAGAGCACCCGACUUCACCAACUGAUGCAGAAAAAUGGGAUGAUCUGGAGAUCGUCACAGGGAAAAUGAAGGAAACAGCUGGAAAAAAAGGGAGAUUUGGGGUUUUUUUCCCAAAAUUUGAGGGGUUUCCCCCCCAAAAAAAAAUUACAAAAAAAAUAAAGAAGCCACCACGGGG